UGCCGGGUCCUUCCAGGAACCCUUCUGAUAACCCCGCUAGGCCCGGAAGGGAGCAACGGUACCCAGAAGUCUCCGUGAGAAGGGGUGCCCGGCACUU
Molecule: signal recognition particle RNA, 97 nt
Filed under: Pseudobdellovibrionaceae bacterium
Lineage: Bacteria; Pseudomonadati; Bdellovibrionota; Bdellovibrionia; Bdellovibrionales; Pseudobdellovibrionaceae
Description: Bdellovibrionaceae bacterium (activated sludge metagenome) signal recognition particle sRNA small type
Rfam family: Bacterial small signal recognition particle RNA
About the family: The signal recognition particle (SRP) is a universally conserved ribonucleoprotein involved in the co-translational targeting of proteins to membranes. Archaeal SRP consists of a 7S RNA and homologues of the eukaryotic SRP19 and SRP54 proteins.
Source: RNAcentral